Molecule: ribosomal RNA, 254 nt
Filed under: uncultured bacterium
Lineage: Bacteria
Description: partial 16S ribosomal RNA
Rfam family: Bacterial small subunit ribosomal RNA
Source: RNAcentral
UACGGGGGGAGCAAGCGUUGUUCGGAUUUACUGGGCGUAAAGGGCGCGUAGGCGGUCAGCACAAGUCAGUUGUGAAAUCUCCGGGCUUAACUCGGAAAGGUCAACUGAUACUGUGCGACUAGAGUGCGGAAGGGGCAACUGGAAUUCUUGGUGUAGCGGUGAAAUGCGUAGAUAUCAGGAGGAACACCGGUGGCGAAGGCGGGUCUCUGGGCCGAUAUUGACGCUGAGGAGCGAAAGCGUGGGGAGCGAACAGG